UCAUGCCUGCUUUGUACCACUCCAUGA
This 27-nucleotide non-coding RNA is filed under the name Mus musculus (house mouse). Lineage: Eukaryota; Metazoa; Chordata; Mammalia; Rodentia; Muridae. The record is from RNAcentral.